GUUGAUUUGAGGUACCCAUUUUAGCGAUCCGCGGGAGCUUGGUUCCAACAAUCCCAAGCCAUCACAUGGCAAACAUCAAUUAAGGCUAGGUGAAUCAUUGCUUAAUUGGCUCCAUUCAACCUCCUAAAAAUAGUUGCUCUUUCUCCCUUUUUUUUUCACUUUUCACUUUUUUACUACAAGGAGACUUUGCCCUAGUGGUUUCCAAUGCACCUCCGACAGUCAUCGAUGGGUCUCAAUAGAUUCUCUGGCAACUUUUCUGUUGCUGCUCGAUUCGAUCGAGGUCAAAGAGAGAGCGACUGAGUCUCGUGCAAGGAUGC
RNAcentral lists this long non-coding RNA (317 nucleotides) under Elaeis guineensis (African oil palm). RNAcentral's name for it is "long non-coding RNA (EGUI_LNC043370)". Lineage: Eukaryota; Viridiplantae; Streptophyta; Magnoliopsida; Arecales; Arecaceae. The record is from RNAcentral.